RNAcentral lists this ribosomal RNA (440 nucleotides) under uncultured bacterium. RNAcentral describes it as "partial 16S ribosomal RNA". It matches the Rfam family "Bacterial small subunit ribosomal RNA", at positions 338 to 795 of the family's 1533-position model. The record is from RNAcentral.
CCUACGGGAGGCAGCAGUGGGGAAUAUUGCACAAUGGGGGAAACCCUGAUGCAGCGACGCAGCGUGAGUGAAGAAGUAUCUCGGUACGUUAAGCUCUAUCAGCAGGGAAGUAAAUGACGGUACCUGACUAAGAAGCCAUGGAUAACGACGUGCCAGCAGCCGCGGUAAUACGUAGGGGGCCAGGGUUAUCCGGAUUUACUGGGUGUACAGGGGGCGUAGACGGCAGCACAAGUCUGGAGUGAAAGUCCGGGGCUUAACCCCGGAACUGCUUUGGACACUGUGCGGCUGGAGUGCAGGCGGGGUAAGCGGGAUGCCUAGUGGCACGGUGAAAUGCGUAGAUAUUAGGAGGAACACCGGUGGCGAAGGCGGCUUACUGGACUGUAACUGACGUUGAGGCUCGAAAGCGUGGGGAGCGAACAGGAUUAGAGACCCCUGUAGUC